This is a long non-coding RNA of Priapulus caudatus, 916 nucleotides long. RefSeq lists it as uncharacterized. The record is from RefSeq and is a predicted model, not a curated record. The transcript is spliced from 2 exons. Lineage: Eukaryota; Metazoa; Priapulida; Priapulimorpha; Priapulimorphida; Priapulidae.
CAGGAAGAAUAAUUGCAGAGAUGAUGAGGGAGAGAGCAUUCGAAGAGCCCAACGCCGAACGAGAGACAAGCUGAAGUCCCGGAAGUCGGCUGCCUUUAAUGGCUUUAUAUCAGACACGACGUCGGCGGUGGGGCCGUCUACCCGACAGCACUUUUCGUAUUCCUAGUCAAAGAUCCGGUCGGUAGUUCACACAACGUCGAUAUAUCGCGUCGACUGUAAACGAUGAUGAUUCGUAUUCGAGAAAUAGUGUUCCAGCCGCGCAGUCCGACCACAGCUCAGCGCUGUGUCGCAUCCUGAGCGCCAUCGCUCUUACCGCGAAAGCUCUCCUGCAAAAAAAUUAUGCAAAUAAUUGCAUGAAACCCCACCAACGUGCAGCAACGAAACAGUUAGACGUAGAACGAUCGUAUGGACCCCGCUAAUGAAGAAUCAGGCGCAACGUGUCCUACCGGCGUCCACCUAGCUCUCACUCCGGAGUGCAGAGUCAGACGGCUGUGUAAUGUUUCACGUGUCAAUGUCACAUACAUAUUUUAGCGCAGUUACACGUGUGUAGGUUGCAGACGGCCCAUAGAGAGCUAUUCUAAAUGUUUAGACCGGCCGCCUGCGUUUCGUGUGAGCAACGGCGUGAUGCUUCAUGCGGCUAGAUUGCGUUCGAGUUCCGUCAUUCUAAUUUUGCAUACUAACAAUUCUGAAAAAUAAAACAAAUAUUGAAUCAGCGCGUUCUAUGUAUAUUAAGUUUAGUCUGCAUCGCAAAGUUUAACAUUGAUUUCUAACUAGACAAUACAAUACAAAAAAUAAACUAGAUUAAUGUUUAUGAGUUUUUAGCGUUACAGGUAUUUCCAAGCUAUUCCCCACCAGGUUAGGCACUUAUUCGUUAAAUAAGAUAGUGAGUGGAAGAGAAAUAAACUCUAAUAAAAUG